GCAUUUCAGCUCUGGAAAUUGAAAUUCUUAUGAACCUAGGAACAAGAACAUUAAAAAAUGCACUAAAUUUCAUAAGAACUGACACUUUUUCUUUGUGUCCCUAAAGGUCUGCCUGCUCACGUUUAAUACAUACCAACUGGAUUUAAUAACUUACUUUUUGCAAAAUAAGGCAGGAAACCAUCAGCAGAGUGGGCGUCUGGGCUCUUAAGGCAAUAAACUGAACCAAACAAGCCCAUAACCAGCAGCCGCGGUCAUUUCUCCUUUGCUCUCGUAUCGGGUGGUCCUUCCCUUUUCCUGCCACAUCACUUGAACUGCUGCUCAGGCUCUGUACCUGAUCCUGCUAAGGCUGCCAAAGGCACAUGUCAGAGCUGGCAGAAUGUUGACAGGAACUCAUAAUAACUUCCAAUAGCCAAGGUUUUUGUUAAGGCUGAAAAUGCAAGUUCUGCAGGAUUAAGUUGAAUUCUUUUGCAGUAUAGGAACCAAGGAGGUAAUUUUAAGGAUGUCUAUCACCACUGAAAACAGGUUUCUCCACAGCAGCCUGCUUCUGCGUAGGUAGGAUUAGAAAUAGGGCAGUAGCCUUUACAGGGGAUUAUAGAAUCUGAAGAGAGGUGGGAAUGACAUAGGGCUGCAGAUGGGCAAUGAUCUUGUCAUUGGGCUUCUGAAGCAUGAUUGUUAUCAUCACACAUUUUGGACUUUGUGGAUUUUUUCCUUUCCGAUUUGAAAGCCAAAUUAGUGAAUUUGCAUAGGAGUACCUGAGGGAUUUUGUUGUUUGUUUGCUUGUUUUAGUUUAAGAUCAUUUGGUUAUCUGGACAGAAAAUAUUUGAAACUCAGGAAUGUGAACUCAUGAUGUUUUAUUUUUAUUUUUUUUCAUGUUUCUACAUGGCAAUAUGGUGGCAGUUAUAAAGGCAAUCAAAAUUAAUACAAAUAUCUACCUCAUUUCAGUGACAGUUGGGAGAGAAAUAGAAGAAAUGGUGUUUUAAUUAUUAGCUAUGAGACUGGUGAUUAAGAAUGACUUGAUGGAGAAUUUUAACAUAAGAAUCUGCAGCGUAGUGACUCUACAUGAUAGAUACUGACCUAAUUUUUGGCAACUAAGUGCCAUAAACAUCAGCCCUGAUAUAUCAGACUCAGCAUCUGCUAAGAUGUCUUAAAACUUUUAAAAAUUAAUGCACAGAGUGAUGAAAAACUGCUGUACAUCAGCAUGCACUUUGUCUAAAUGCAAAUAUUCCAUCCUCUAACCAGCCCAUAAAUAUAUUUUAAAAUGUAAAAAGAAAAUAAAAGGUCUUUCAUAGCUGAUGUAGCAGCAGAGCCAUAAUAUUUCCUUGUUUGUGAUGUUACAUGCUGUUUGUUUAAAAGAAAUCUGUGUUUUCAUAUUAGAUGUUCAUGAUUGUCUCCACCAGUCAAAAUAUCAUUCUUUAUUCAGACAAAUAAGCAAAGCUUCAGAUUUAUUAAUAUCAUCUUUUUAACGUUGUGCUGAAAAGGGCAUCAUGUCCCUGGUUGAAAACGUGAUAACUUGAGGGAAUUCAUGGCUAUAGUUGCUUUGUCAUUCUAAGGACAUUGAUUUUUUAUUUAUAUAAAUCUACAGCAGCAGGUUUGUGGCUCAUUGAUUUGAGUGCUAAAUGCUUAUAGGGACACAACUAAAUGCCAAGCUGUAGAUGAAUUUAAGCUACUGGGCAUACUUAAACACUGGACAUCUCAAGCCUGUUUACUCCAAGUCUGAAUGUCAUGAAUCUGUCUCUAAGUACCCUCUGUGAAAAUUCAAAAUGUUGUGCAGAAAGUCUUAUGCUUACUGAUCCAGCUUUGGCAUCCUUAAAUACAAACAGGCAUCCGGUGAUGGAGGUAGCUGUGUUGCUGCCGUGGCGGUAUCAACAAAUAUUAAAUGCAAAAUUGUGACUGGAAUCUAUUAUUCCAAAAAUAUCUGCACUUCUGAAAGUCCCCUUUCUCUCCCCCUCUCUCUCCAACCCACACCCUUAACGCCAGGAUUUUUGGGAACCUAAGGACAGACAGUGAGAAAAUAAAGAAUUCAGCUGCUGUGUGCGCUGAAAAGAUGACUGCUCUAGUUCUAAGGAUUUUGUUUGUUACUUUAAGAAAAAAAGGCAAAAGCGUGCAGUUUGCUGUGCUACAAUUACUUCAGAAAUGCUGUAAAUAAUUAGUGUGUUAAAGCUUGUGCUCGUGUUUAAAGUGUGAGCAAAAGCAUCGGUAAAAUGCAGUCAAAAGUCCUGAGCAGUGGCACAGUGUAAGGAAGGAAAUCUCCUGCACACAAUAGAGAUUAAAUGCUCCCUGUGCAUACUGUAUUCUGCACAGCCCUCGCUGCUCUGAGCCGGGACUGUGGCAGUCGUUAUCUCGAGCAGGUUCCUUGGUGAUUUUCGAGCCCUGCACUACCUACCCAAGUGGCAGUGACACCAGCUUUCACUGAAGCCUUAUUACUCUUAAAAGAGCAAUUUGGUUGGUUGCACGGCUAUUAGGAUCAGACAGUCAGGCUUAAAGCUGUCAGUACAACUGCUUCUCAUCUUUUUUCACAAUCCUGACAUCUUUUCUCUUUUCUGCUGGACACGAGCAUUACUGUUUUUAUCAUUUUCAAUCAAGCUCAUGCUGCAAGCUGAGGAAUAUAUUCCCACAGAAGCCAAAGUGAGAGCAGAAAUUAUUUUAUAGCUGCUGUAGUAGCAGUGGUGCUGGCUGCAUGUUGUGUGGGAGAAAUCGGAUCAGUGAGAAAUGUGGCUUUCCUCAGGGCUACAUCAGUGAGAUAUUACUUCAACAUCUAAGGAUAGCAAGGCUGCUCCUUGCUCUGAUUUUUCUAUGAUUAAUCACUCCUCUUUACGCCAGCAGAGUAUGCAGAAAGUGGGGGAGAAGAUGUAAGAUAAUUUUUUUUUGGAAAAGAACUUGUGGAAAUGUUAUCAUCAGUGAGACGGGGGAAAAUCACUAUGCUUGAACUUCUUUUCAUUUUGAUGUUGCUCUUCUCUGGACCAACCCUGAGCAAGCUUAGCAGGACCAAAGGCAAACACUGGAAGGGGGGUAAGUGGAAAGAAAAAGUUUCCUAAUGGAUGUUUGGGUAGGAUUUUAAGAAGAUUCCUUAAGGAUGAUCUAAGGUGAAUAACUAUGCUGUUCUGAAUGACUAAGAUUUUAGAUUAUUGUGUGUACUUGAAAGAGGGUAUUGAAAAGGGAACACUGAGUUUCAUUUGUUUUCUUGUUAGUUUUCUUGGCUGCCUCUGUAGGGCGUAUAUUCCUUGCAGGAAUUCUACUUUGCAUGUUAUUAUUAACAGAAUAGCAUUUAAGGCCUUUAUAUAAAUAAAUGCCUAUCAUUUAGAAACUGGUGUUUUGUUGUGCUUUUUUUUUUUUUUUUUUUUUUUUUAACUGUGACAAUUUAGAUUGUUAUUUGCAUUAUGGAGACUCUGGGACUGAUAAUUGUAGUUGUGUGGCAAGAAAUGUUCCCCCCAGCACAGGGGAUUGUAGUGCUAUAAAAGAAGAGCAGGGAAAAGAGAAAGCAAGCAAGAAACCUGUUUUGAGUGCAGAAUUGUUAGUGUACAUAGUAAAAAUGAAUAGACAGACUUUUUUUUUUUUUUUUUUUUUUUUAAAUACAUGCAUGUUGUGAAAUGCACUGCCAGCAGCACUAAUUGGCUGACUGGCUGUAUCAGUGUUGAUGUGGUAAUAAAGAUAAAUUGCAUUAACUUUAUCGGAAAAAAUGAUGUGCUGUGAAAAAACUUACGAUUCUUGAAGGCAGCAAUCCAUUCUCUUCUGUUAAAAUCUGCUGGGAAGAUUUACCCUAUGUGUGCUGUGAACAGUUCACUAAAUGUGCCUUUUCAUAAAGUUCACUUUGUUUUGCUUCCUUGUGUGACAUUUGUUUAUGGAAAACACGGGUUAUCGAGGUCUCAUAAUCAAAUAGCUCAGUGAGCAUAAAUGGUAUCUCAUAAAUAUUUGGACUGAGGGACUGUGGCUUGUAGAUAGCUAGAUGUUUUCUCCUGGUUGUUUCUUGAUGUUACUGAUUGGAUGCACCCCAGGUUUUUUUUUUGUUUUUUUUUUUCUUACAAGCAUUGCCACAGCGUGAUGUGUUUAUCACAGCUUUAAUAGCACUUUCUGUCUUCCUCUGCUGUCAGUAUUGUGAUCUGAGGUUAAAGAGUAGCAUCAGCAUUAUAAAGAAGUUUUAAUAAUUUAUUACAACAUCUCAGCAGGAAUCUCCUCCCUCUCCCCUCUGUAUUUCCUUUUGUUGCAUUCAGAGAAAUUACAAAUCUUCUACUUUCUGUACUUUUCUGGAAAAGUUGCAGCGCACACUUAACCUGGACUAUUAAUACGGCACAGUACGUCUGCAAAUUAUUUCCUGGUUCUGUAAAUCACAUUAUCACGUGUAUCUCACAGUGCUGCUGGGUAUCCUCCUUGCAAAUUACAAGCUGUUAUUUACUCUCAGCAGCAUGGUCUCUUCUUAGAGGCACGUGAGUUAGGAAUAUAUGUUACUGUCAAGUUCCUGGAAUUUCAAAAAUGCUGUUAACUUUUUUCCUUUUUCCCAUUUUCAGUUAACUUCUGUAAAUAAGUGGUUUACUGCUUCAGUCUCUUACUUAUUAUCUAAUAGAAGCCAAGCACUCUACUGAGGAAUUUUGGUCAUGAGUCGAAAAUAAUCCCCGAAUCUGACUGAGGAAAAUAAUACUUUACUAUGGGGUUUUGCUUUUCUUAAACAUGUUCUUUGCACCUGAAACAAAGAAUAAAGAAGGUACCUCUUCCAAGCAUGCUAACAAUCAAUUUGUCUUGCUCACUCACAGCUCCUUAAAUCAACUGAAAAUUAGGCUUACCUGAUGUAAGCUUUUGCAUGUGGAUGUCAUUGCUGUGUUGCUUGAAGAUGAUGUGUGUUUUUCAGUGAAAGUGUUACAUUUGGGAUCUGCCAGAGUAUGUUUUGGUGUUAUGUAGUCUGAGCAUUUUUGACCUUCAAAACGUGAUACACACCUCUCUUUCUACUGAGCAUCAAGAAGCUCCUAUGUCAACGUGAGUUCUUUUUCUGUGGCCUGUGUGUGAAAUCUAUGAUGCUGCUUGGUAAAAUUUCUGCACAGAUGCUUCUCCACUGGAGAUACACUGGACAACUCAUCCAAGAAUGGAAACACAUUUUUUAAGAUGUUCAGGAGAUCUGGGAACCUGCAUACCAACUUGCAGCUAUGUUGUUUAGAGGGAAAGUAUGAUGCUAGAUAUGUGCAUCUGGAUAUAGGCAGUAUAAAUAUUAGUUUAGCUAUACUGAAAUUGUUUUCCAUGAUGGACAACAGUAGCUAAUCCAGAGCAUCCUCACAAGUUUUUCAGUAUCACAUCUUAUUUCAACAGUGCUGCGAAAUACAGACAUCUUUGGAAAGUGCUGAUCUUCCAUGUCUACAUAGGCCCUAACCAUGAUCAUCCAGGUUAAUGAAUCUCAAAAUUCUGCUAAUAUGACUUUAAAAACUUCAUUGCUGAAGUUACAAGUUCUGAUAGGUUAUUUUGUGGUCUUGCUGUGUAGUUCUCUCUGUUAUUCAUAAGAAGAUCUAUUUACUUCUGUAUUUUUCUUUGGAAUUUACUCUAAAAAAAGUCUGCCAUUAAAAUAAAUGGCAUUAGAGGUAGAAAUUGCUUCCUGAUUUAGUUGCAGUGUUAGUUGUGAAAGAAUGAAAUUAGUUGCAUACUUACAUGGUCCUGAAGAAAUGGAAAGAUAGCACUUUCUUUUCUAGCUAUUUUUAAGUCUGUACUCCAGAAAACUUUCAGAAUAAGUCAUUGGAAUGCAGUGCUUAAAUGUACCCUAAACUGGAUUUAUAAACUAGCGUUCAAGAUAGACUGCAGUCUGAAAGCAGAACCUGGGAAUACAAAUCAACUGGAUUUGCUUUUUCCCUUUGAGCCAAAAUAGUACUAUGUGAUUCAAGUUUUUAAGAAGGAUUUAUAAUAUGGAGAACAAAAAACUGGGAAAAGAAGAUUAAGUGCUCUUUUGAGUUUACCUUAAAUCGGAAAGCUGAUUUCAAGUGUUGCUAAUACCUAUCCCCUCCUGAAUUUGUUUCCAGUGUUUUCAGUCUAUCACAUACCAUAGGGAGAAAGAAAAUUAAAUUUUAUACGUAUCCAUUCGUAUAUAUGCGUAUGUGCUGUCUAUUUGGUGGUGUCGGGGAGAGUUUGGGAAACUGUCCAUUUGUGUUAUGUUUGGGUAUAUUCCCAGCACUUCCUUCUUACUAAUAGUGUGGUGAUAUUAAUUCCCAAGCGAGGAAAAUUGUAGCAGUGAUUCACAUUUACUGAUCUUCAGGCAAUAUCAAAUGUCCCCUACAUCUGUGAGUGGUGUGUCACAUCUGAUAAACACCACACACAAAUGUGAGUGGGGCUGAGGAGCACUAUUUUCCAAGCUCUUGCCAAAGGGCCCAUUACUGUUAGGACAUCAGCCUUGUUGAAGAGUUCACAAGGGCAAACUAGCACUGUACAGAGAAACCAUUCCACAUAGUCAUUGGAUAUUACUUCAGCUGUAAAACAGCAAAAUGCAUGGGGAAAAGAAAAUCAUGUACGAUGCUUGUCUUCUGGUAAACAUCAGUGCAUUUUAUAACGAUGCUUGAAAGCUCUGUGACAGAAAGAGUUCAGACAAGAAGAGGGAUAACAUUAAGUAAAUCGCAAUUCCUGGCAGACAUUAACCUUCUAUUCAUCCUGGGAAGACCUCGCUUGUUCAGUCUGGGGAAUAGAUGCACUGUCCCAGAGCAUCAGGCGCUAAUGAAUAGAACUGGCUCCUGGCCUGACCUGGUGGCCUCUGUAGCAUCACCAGUUCCCAUCCCAGCCAGAAGGUUGCAGAGUGGGCCACCGAGGGAUGGUCCUCAAGGGUGCAUCUCAGAGGGAGAGUGUAGAAGGACUCUGCAUGGGACAGAAUGCCCCAGUGUAGGACCAGAACACUGAAAGUGCUGUCAGCAGUGCAAACAGAGCAAACCACCCCACAGAACUGAAAGAGGACAGACAGUACCUGUUCUUUUUAGCUCUGGGGAAGUGAAGCAAUAAACCUUUGUGACUAAAUCAAAGUUUAUUAUGCAAGUGAUCCAGCCUUAUAUUUCAGUUUCAGUUUCAUCUCUACAGCAUUUAAUCGUUUUUAUGGCAAAGAAUAUCAGUGACAGAAAUCUAGAAGUGUCACUUUCUCAGUCUUACUGGUAGGGGUAAUACAAAGGUAUGUAGGUGAGGUUCAGUCAUCCUUGCAGAUUGAUCAGUACAUGUUAUUUAGGAUGAAUGUAAUUAUCAAUGCUAGUUUAAAUGUUUUUGAAAGCACAAUUCAGAGAUCAGCUCACAAAAGAAAAUUUCUAUUAACUAACCUUCCCUUCCACACAGAAAGCAGCCACCCUUCAGACCGACCAAACGUGGAGGUAAAAUUCUGUAAUAUUAAAAUAGUGGUGAGAGUAUUAGAUUUGGAGGUGUGUUACUGGACUGCUGGUAGGUGCCUGGUAGCUCUGGAUAACCAGACAUCUCAGGUACGGAGAUAUUAUCCACACAGAACUACAACUUUACAGUGCAUGCACACUGAGUUUGGUGAAGAUAGUACCCUGAGAUGUGCUAGAUUGGUAAUGAGAAGUCUCAGUGUGGUCACAAAGUCCUACACAUCAAGAGCACAGUGAAUUGUAAUAGAUGUUUAGAUCUCUUCUUGGCAGCCUCUCAACAAUACUGUUUGCUUCCCCUCUGGGGAAGCUCAUUACACUUUUUCAACACCAGGAAGCUGUUUUCACCUGCAUUAUGACUGUGGGGUGAUGAAAGAUGGGGUUUAUGGAAAGUAGGAAAUAGAGAGGAGAUACUUCUGUGGCUGCAGAUAUCUUGGCCUUCAGUGUGACUUAUCAUGAGGCACAAAGAUCUGUUCAGCUGUGAUGAGGCGGAGCUUUUUAGUAUGAUGGUUGUGAGUUUCAACACUGUCAGCUGUGCUGGCAUGAUUCACUGUGUAAUGUAUGUAAUUUUGAGGGUACAUGUUAUAUAAUUUACCAUUUGUCUAAUUUAAGUAAAUUAUUUCAUGGAAUUUCAAGGAUAAACUGCAUGGAUCCUUUUUGAGUACUUUCUCAUGCUGGAAGGUUAAUUAACAGUAUUUCUUAUACAGUGAAACAUCAAAUAUGCUGCUAUGCACUAGCACACUGGAAAAGCUUAUAAAAUGCUGAAACCAAGUUUCAAACUAAGGGUUCCUAAAAUUAAUUCCCUACAUUUUAUAAGAGAAACCUGAUUUUAAGUAGUAUUGAAAAUUCACAUUAUUUUUAACUUCAGAGGAAGCUCAAUAUAUUUGAAGAAGUGACUUGUGGAUAGAUAUGGAUCUAAAAAAGUAAUUUUAGAACCUAAGGACUGUAAGUGUGGAUAUGCAGUUUUAGUCUGACUGUAAGUAUAUAAAGUGCGUGACUACACACAGCAUGUGACUUCAUGUUUUGAAUAUGUUCGUAAUAGUUUUACUUUUAAUAUACUUAAAAUAAAAACGAGUAUUUAUUUGGAUACUGAGUAACAGAAAUGAACUGGUUUUUAUUCAGUCUUCUGUUUGCUUUUAAGUCUGGACUUAGUUCCUAUCCCACAAUAACAAGGAAAUUUCUGCAUCUUCUUUUACAUUUUCUCUUCAGAGUGAAAUCUGAAUUCAAAGGGACUCUGCUGCUGUGUAAAGCUUUCUGUACACAUUUUCUUGAAGCAUUCAACCCUUUCUCAUCUAAUUUUAAACUCUUUGAAAGUGUUUUAAAUAUAAUAAAGAGGUCUGGUAACCCAUGCGCAAAAGCACAGCUGGAGACAGUGUAAAAUUGGGGAAUGGAAAACCAAGUUUGUGAGAUUUUCCUUCUCAGCUGGAAGGUUGGAAUGGAAAAUGUUUGGGUUAUUCCAGCCAUGAAGGAGCAAAUUAUAAGAACAUAUAAUAUCUAUUUAAGUACAGAAAGUUUUGUUCACACAAAACCAAACGGUAAUGAGUAAAUGUAGGCAGAAAGUAGGAGGAGUGUCUCCAGCCAUUACUGAGAAAGGGCUGUCAACUUUUGGCAAAAGAGUCAAUCCACAGUCUUCUUUAAAUGCUGCCAGUACUGGCUGCAGGCUCCCAACACCUCAUUCACCAGAGUCAGCGUGGACAACUACUGGCACCCCUAUCCAGGGAGUUGAUCCAGGUAACAAGAUUGGAUAGUGUCUAUCUAGCUGAUGGGAUUCCUUAAUUCACACAGUCUCAGGUGACAGGUAAACCUAGGGCCAUGGCCACGAGAGAAGAGGUUACAGUCAUGGCUAGAUUUAAGCUAGUUCAGACUGGUACAUAACUUCAGCCUCCAGGUCAGGAUUAUCCAGAAGAGAGAAAAAAUAUAAAAUAAAAAAAUUUAAUAAGGUGACACCUUCCUUUGAAUCCUAUGUCCACAUCCCAUACUCAGAGUCUUGCUUGAAAUGUUUGCUAUCAUAUUAAAAAGUAUGUUGAUCAAAUAGUUAUAAUACAGAAGGAAUAUUUAAAUACUGGUCACCUCCACGGAUAUGCACACACAUCCCUUUCCUCAGGUUAUUUGCAUUUAUUUUUUUCUUAAAACAGAUUUUGGAAUUGCUGUACUGCAUCAUUGAUGUUAGAAAGCUAGUAAACACAAGUUCUCUCAAUUAGGUCCACAAAUAAAAUGUGUUCUUGUAAAUUGCCUCGUACUUGUUGAAAGAGCUUGAAUCAAAGAUUCAAAAGGAUAAACAGGCAUCAAUACACAUCAGUGCAUCUGAUAAAAAGUUGUUUUGGUUUCCUCUUUCUGCCAAUUUUGAAAGACAGUGAUGUUCAGGAGAUAAACACUAUUGAUUUUUGACUUCAAGGUAUGAUCUAAGGAGUACUUAGAGUGCACUUUCAAGAGCCAUUAAUAGAUACCUCCACAAAAAAUUAUUUGUUUUGAACAUUCAAAAUUGGAGUGUGGGGGGAUGAUUUUACAGGUGAUUUAAUCUUGGUAUAUGAUACUGAAACUGCUAACAAUUAAAAGCUAUUUGUAUUUUAGAGCUGCUGUUCAAUAAUGACAGCACCUUCAGUAGAAAUUGUUUUUUUGGUCUUUUUUGUCUGAAUUAUAAAAUCUUGUUCUCAGCUAAAUUGUGUCACAUUAACUCUCAUUCUAGAACUUAUUUCAUUUUAUUAGUUUGGAGACUUUAUCCUCUUAAGCUAGCUAAAUAUUAAAAUAAAAUCAUGGUUGCAUAUAUGUGUUGCACAGACAAGCAAACCAUAAUAAUUCAGGAGCAUCAAGACUAUUUUUCUGCUUUCCACGAUUUUCCCUAAAAACCUGUGCAUUUCAUUGCUGUGUUUCCUUGUAUAAGGAAACUCAAAUAAAGUAAUGGAGAAAACAGAAACAAAAAUUAGUUUUGCUUCUAGAGAUGCUGAUCACUCAGCAGAAGCUCUCAGCAAUAUGGUUUCUCAACCUCCAUAAAAAUCAAGUUUCUGAUAUGACUAAGUAUAUAGACCCUCUUUCCUCCCGGCACCUAUGUACUCUGAAUACCAACAGUCUUUACUGCUUCUUGAUUUCCUCCCAGGCACAGGCAUGUGUGCAGUUUCUAUGCUAGUGUGGUUUAUGAUGAGAGUUUACUGAUAACAGUCUUUGCAGCAGUUCCAAGUAUGGCUGUGGUUACAGUGGCACAGAGGAGUAAGAAACUCUUCAUAUUUACUAUCUUUCCCAUGUAGGAUGCUGGAUAAGGACAAAUGAUACUACUCACAUUAAUACUGUGUUCUGCUUUAUUUAACUUGCUGCCAGCUGGAUUCUGAGUGUUUUUUUUAAGUUUGUGUCAUCAGUUUUGACAUUUUAGACAGAGAAUGACAGAGGUUCACCUCACUGCCCAAGAUUGCUGUCUCUGGCUCCGUAAUUUAAACUUCCUGUAAGUCCAUUGUACCAACAGUGGAAAAACAGACAAAAGCAGUUCUUAGCUUUGUGGAAUAAAGCAGUUUGCUUCCUGUACACUGCAUUGUUAAGAGAAGAAAUUGAAGAAUAUUUACGUAAUAUUUACUAUAGAAAAAGUGAAUAGAAAUAGUCUUCUCAGUUAUGGAAAAAUUGAGAACAAGUUGCCACGCAAUUUAAAUGUGCUACUGAAUAUUUUCACCUAUGGAGGUAAGGGUUCCUUAAAACUUUUAGAGAAAGUACUAACAAAUAAAAGCUCUUGUCAGACACAUCCAGAGAGGCAAUAAACAAAUUUAUAAAAAUUUAUUCUAUUCUAAAAAGCUGACUUCAAUUGUAUUUUUAGAUUCCACUGACACGUUGAAAAUUUGCAUUCCAUUGUCAUACUUCUUGUAAUUAGCACUUUGAGAAAUCACAGAUACUGUUUCAAAUUUUUACAUCGUGAAAAAGUGUGGGGAGAGUCCUUUUUUUUGCAGUCAUUCCUUUCAGUGUUUCUCCUAGAAAAUGGUUGAUAUACCAAAUGUGUCACUUCUGAUUUAAAAAUUAGCAUACAACUGAGAAUACAUUGUCCUUGGGGUAAUGCCCCUGGAUAAGUGCCUUUUGCAAAUAUAUGGUCAUAUCUUAUUUCUUGUACUUGCUUGAGAAAAACUGCCACAUUUUAGGUGUAACUGGAAUAUAUGUAUCGUCUUUCCUGCUAUAGUCUGAAAUAAUUCUACUGAAAUUUAUGGAAUCAUGUCAAUUUAAAUGAGGGGAGAGUCUGCUUUUGAAUCUUAGCUGUAAAAUCAUCCAUUUGGUAAUCAGUCAUGGCAGUUCUCACUAGGUAGUGCUUGUCUGAUAACAGAUCUAGGCAGCUGGAAAGACGCUGAUCUGAAGAUGAGAGUGUGGAAGUCCUGAGGGUAAUGAAAAAAGAGGCAAAAAUAUGACACUGAUGAAGUUCUCACUGCUUUAUAAUAGUUCCUAUUAGUUAAAGUGGUUUCUUCCAACUAAUGUUUUUUGUAAAACUUAAGAAUUUGUCUUCAUAAUUUACUUUAGACCCAUUGUCCUGCUGUGGGUCUAAAUGAACUGUUGUUAUCUGACCAUUUGAUUAUUCUUGGAAUUAAUACGGAUUGAUAUACCAGCCUAGAACUUGUUUUAAUGAAUUAUUGUCUUCUCCAGCAUCAAGAAUCUCUUCAGCAAUUAUAAAUUUAUGUGUAAAGUCUUUUCAAAGAUAUCAUAAAAUUUACAUUAAUAAAUCAUUUAAUAAUAAUGAUUUGGUUGCAUAGCAUGGUGAAGAGUAAAGUGUUCAUUGAAAAUCUGGACAAUGGUCAGUUUUUACAUUUUCAAUUUUUAUUUUCUCUGCUUCUAGACUGUCUGGCUUCUUUUUUUAAAAAGUGACAACACUGACAGUCUUGAAAUAUGAGUAAUGAUGCUGUUGAUGAUCACUGUGGAAAAAGGUGUAGAAUGACUGCACUUUGCAGAAAUUUCCUUUUUUUUUUUUUUUUUUUUUUGAGUGGAAAAUAUGUUGGAAAGUUCUCCAACUUUUGAAUGAUGAAGAGCAGGAAAAAGGAAAGAAAACAAACUCAAUUUCUUGGUGCUAUUGAGUUGUGUGUAUUGAAAGAAAAAUGUGUUUUCUUUCUUCCAAGAAGAGAGCUGUGGAAGUUGAACAAGCCAGUCAUAAUAGAAUUACACCAUUUACUUCUAAAGGUGUUCCUGGAUCCUCCCAACACAGUGUAUGACAAGAGACACUCCACAGAGUAUCAGGACAAAUAUACACUUUUACUCUGGGGGAAAAGUUUUUUGGAUAAUGUGUACAUUGACCUUUAUUUUAAGAGGGAUCUCAGUGAAGUAGAAAGAUUCUCUGUUUAACAUAGUAUUGCUUUACUCUUUACAGCAGCCAGGCAUAGGUCUUAUUUCAAAAUAGAAACUAACAGAAUUUCACUCCUUCAGAGCAUUGUAGCUCCUAGGAACUUUGUUAAAUUUGAUUUUUGUUUAUCCUGUCUCAACUUCUCCUUCAUCUAUUUUCAUGUUCAGUGUAUGAUCUCAUCUAUUUGUAAAUUGUCAUCUUAUUUUUAAAGGACAUUUUACAGUUAUCUUCAGCAGGUAUUUAUCAGAGACUUCUUAAUUUAUUUCAAUCUGAUUAUAUAGCCUUUUAACUGUAUGUAAGUAGAAAAACAUUUCUGUUAAUGAAUUUUAUCUUAAAUUAUUGCUGUAGAGGUACAACAUUAGAAAUAGUUUUUUUGUUGUUGUUUUUGGCAACAUAUUUUACUUAAUCUAUAUUCUUGGAAAAUAUUGUUUGACAUCUUGAUUGAUUUUCUUUCUGCCGCUCUUUGGUAGUAUACUAUUUACGUUAAUCUGAAAGGAACAUAGGAACUAGUAAAAGUUUUUGAACACUUAAAUUACAAAACAUGCAUUGUCUUCCAUGUAUUCUUAGAGUCAUAGAAUGGCUUAGGUUGGAGGGGACCUUAAAGAUCAUCAAGCUCCAGAAGCUUGCUGUGGGCAGGGUUGCCGCCCACCAUCUCAGGCCGCCCAGAGCCCCAUCCAGCCUGGCCUUGAGUGCUUCCAGGGAUGGAGCACCCACAGCUUUUCUGGGCACCUAUGCCAGCGCCUCAUUGCUCUCUGUGUAAAAAAUUUCCUCCUAACAUCUAACCUAACUCUACCUUUUUAGUUUAAAGCCAUUUCCCUCUUGUUCUAUCGUUGUCAGAUCAUGUAGAAAGUCACUUUCCCUCCUGCUUAUAAUCUCCUUUCAAGUACUGGAGGGCUGCAAUGAGGUCUUCCUGCAGCCUCUUCAUUUCCAGGCUAAACAAUCCCACUCCCUCAACCAAUCUUCAUAGAAAAUGUGCUCCAGCCCUGUUAUCAUGCUGGUGGCCCUAAUUUGUGAGGGUUAUUCUCUGAUGCUUAUAGAUAGUUGACAAAGCUGCUAAAGCCUACUUCAAGCAAAUGCUAUAUAAAAAAGCUUGCAUAUGCUCUAAAAAAGUACAGCUCAUGUAGAGAAUGUGAGGUGUGUUGAGAACACAGGACAAUAUAAUGUGUACAUACAUGCAAAUUUACUUGAUCUGUAUUGAUCUUUUCAAUUCCCUUUCCAAACAGUGAACAUGGUAAUUUCAUUUUAUAGAUAAUGUCAUUUGAGGCCCUGAAUCAGUUUCGCAGUACACAUUUUUGAUUCAUGUCAAGGGCAGUUGCUAGCUGUAAACGUAUCUGUUCAUAAUCUUUUCAGCAGAAAUAAUGCAUUGACUGAUAUGUUUCAUGGCACAUACAUUGUCUUUGCGUAUUGGGAAAGAUCACAAGAUGAUCUAUAUGAUUCAUCAAUCACUGAAAAAGCUGUAGGCAGUCACCACAAAGUGAAAUUUUGUUAUGUGUUUAGAAAGAAAAAUGAUUUGAAGAAUACUGACGUUCUAUGACCACCAUCUUCCACAAUGUAAUUUGGAGUUAUAUUGUUUUACUAUCUUUAUUCAUUGUGCGAGCAUAUGUAGAUCUUGGGUUCCUGUUUUACCCUGUGGUAUGAACAAUGGAUAGAAGCAGAAAGCUACUUAUAAGCAUUCCUUAUUUAUUCCUGUAACACCCAAAUCGUUCUUCAAAUGAACAUCAGCCUAAAGAUUGAUCCUUUUUCUGCCUAGUUUGCAGGAUAGAUUUACACCAAUCCACACAAUUACCAACAGGCAGCAUGCCAUCCUUUAGUAAAUUAUCCUGUUAGUUUUCAGAAACCCUGUAGAUAUGGGCUUCUAUAGUGGUGCUAAAGCAUAGCAGGAACUGUCAGUUAACUUGUUCAAAAUGCAAAGGAUAUGCCAUUUGUAUUGAUUGCUAUAGAUUUUUGCCUCAUCCAAAGGAAUUUGUAUUUUUUUCAGUGAACUUGUAUUGAGAAAAGUGAAAGCAAAUAAUGGCUAGACAGAAAUGACAUAUUCCAGAUUUCAAAAGAACUCAAAACUUUAAAUUUCUCAUGCAUACCCUUGCAUUCCUUGUUUCUAAGGCAUCCAAUCACGUCUGUCUUUUUGCCAAGAGAGCGACACUAAAACGGGCUGAAAACAGCAUCCUUUCACUUUGCAUUAAAGUGAACAGAACAGCACUCAGCUUUGUGCAUUUCAAACUCACUGCAAUAAAAGUUUUAAGAGAUAAGAAGCUUUUUCUAUUUCAGGGUUGCCAUUAGCUUGAAUAAUACAUAAACAAGGGAAAAGGUCUGAAGUCCUAUUGAGGAUCACAAUAUAGCUUCAAUUAAAUUAUACAUCAUUAUCACAGCUGCCAAGCAUGGUGUGGGAUUUUAGACCCCCAUCUCACUAAAUGUUCUAUGUAGCUGUCUUGUCCAAUUCUUUUUUCUUCUUCUGCUCCCCCUCCCCCCCCCCCCCCCCCAAACACCAAUAGCGCUCUUUGAAAACUCUAGUUAAAGGAAUAAAGCAGAGGAUGAGGUUUGGUUAAUCAAGAAAGAACAUUGAGAUGUCAACAGUCAAGCACCAAGGGAGGGAGAAGGUCAACUUUCUAGCCUUUAAAAACACCAGGGAGAAAUCAAACACUAUUAAGUCAUGACAUAUAUGUUCCUUUUGAACUAGGGCUGCAUGCAGUUCCUCUGUCUGCUGAGUGGUUUGCAGUGCCAGUUGAUUCCCAGUUGAUAAUGAAACCUAUUAUUAAAACAGAAUAGCUGUGGAUGUCCACUGAGCAUGCUUUCAGUAAAUGUCCAUAAAGUUGGCAAUUAUUUUAAAACUCAAUCUGAACAGAAUAUUUGCCUCUUUGUCUGUGGUUCAUUCAGCUUUCUAGCAUAAAAUUUCAUAGCAGCUUAUCAUCAUGGGUGUUUUUUUGGAUGGUACAGUUACUUAGUCAUCCAAGUAGAUGUCAGCUUGUUAUUACCUCUGUGGUGACUUUGACUUUGACAUAAAUCCAGGAUAUACAAAACUAUUAUUGCAUACUUAAGAAAAUCAUAAUGGCUUGUCAUUUAUAUUUAUUCCUAUAGUGUCCUCUAAAAGUGUUAGAAGUGUUUUGACUAAUUAAUUACACUAUUUGCACUCUCAAAGCCACCUCACUUUGCAUUAAUUUUAUCAGUUUGCUUUUCUUCUUUGUAUAGUAUUAUAUUGAUAAAUAUUCUCUCCUGAGUAGCCACAUAAGAAAAACUGAAAUCGAGGUGGCAUUGCAGAGUUCUGUGCUCAGAAUACUUAUUUCAGAUUAUACCCCACCAUUGAUUUUUACAUUGAAGAUGCCUUCGAUUUCAAUGGGUGUUUAACAUGCAGAUCAAUGACAUGUUAUGGUGCUUAAAUGGUAACAUUUGAUAUUUAAAGCUAAAUGAGCAAGAAGAUACCACUGAGUUCCUAGCAGGACUGAAAAUAUCUGAUAAAAAUUCAAACUGCCUUAGCAUUUCAGACAGUUAAAAAUCUCAGAAGAAACAGCUGGUAACAAAAGUGAGAAGAAUUGUCUGAAAAGUAAAAUGAGAAUGUGUAAGUAAAAUCUGGGCUGAAAGCUGUUUGUAAUAUCCCUUUGUUGUGCAAUAACAUGAUUAGUGACCUAGGCUUACUGCAGCCUGUGCCUUGCCUCCAGCAGAACUAACUACUGAGGCAUGUCUUACAGCUGUGUCACAUUUCCUAAGUUCUGUGUCAGUUUGUCUCCCUGAUACAGUAGCUUAUUGUAGAAUUUCAGAAGAGUAUUUAGUUAUAUUAUAUUUGGGAUGGAGCAACUCCAGGCACAGGUCAGACUGGGAGAGGAGUGGCUGGAUGGCAGUACAGCAGGAAGGGACCUGGGGGUGCAGGUGGCAGAAUGCUUAGCGUGGACCAGCAGCACCUUGUGGCAGUAAAGAGGGCAAACUGCAUUUUGGGGUACGGUAAAGAAAGCACAGCUAGCUGGUCAAAAUAGGUGAUUUUCCUGCUAUAUUUAAUGCUACUGCAGCCUCACUUUCAGUGUUGUGUGCAGUUCUGGACUCCACCAUAUAAAAAGGAUGUUAAGGUUUGGUUAAGAGCAAUCAGGCUGAUAACAGAGCUGGAGAUAUGUCCUGGGAGGAGAGGCUGAGGAUACUUUGUCUGUCCGCUCUGGAAAAGAGGAGAUCAAGAGGUGACCUCAUUGCUCCCUGCAGUUGCCUGGGUUUUGGGGGGGAGGGGGAGUGGGUGAAGCAGAGAGAGAUGUUGAGCUCUGCUCCUUGGUUGUCAGUGAUAGGAGGGAACGGCACAAAGCUGCCGGAGAAGCAGCUGAGAAGAAUCAUAUCAUGCAGCCCAUUCACAGAUUCCUUCGGUAAAUAUGAAUUUAUGGCAUGCAGUUGGAAAACUCUUAAUAUUCUUUGUAUAAAACUUUAAACAAACCAUCUACUUUUUAGAUCUGUUUCAGGAACAAAAACAUAUGCUUGACUAUGGAAUGUAGUAUGAGUUUUUGCAAAACUAUUUGACAAUAAUACUCCCAAUCUCUCAGUUCUACACCCAGACCAAUUUUAUUCUGAUGCAGUUUUCAUAAAACUACUUGAAAUCCAUGCAUGUUAUUUACCUCACUGUAUAUGCAGCUUUCAGACGUUAUUUCUUAAACCAAGUUUGUGAUUUCUGCAUCCUCUGUACUGCAAGAAGGACAGCAGUCAGAGGGUGAAGAACUCUUUUGGGUGGUUUGUACAGUUUGUUUAACCAUCAGGCUGCAAGAGAGAUUUUUUGGAUACCAGCUGUGCUUUAGUAUAGACCUUAAAGUGAAAAACAGAAGCUUUGGGCUGUUGCACCAAAUACAUAAAGAGUUAAUUUUUUGCUGUCCUGUUGCAGAAUUAUUUUUUUACUUACAUAGAAAGAGAAGUAGAAGCACCUUCCUCAAUCACUUCUUCAAAAUGACUUGAAAAAUCUGUUCUCCAGCAUGUCACAUAUGCCCUUUAAAACUGCUUCUGUGCUGCUGCCUUCUCUUAUCAGUAUGGGCCAUAAAUUUUGCAUGGAUAUAGAGGGAACUGCCAUGUGAGUACUUGAAAUAGUUAGCAAGAUGCUGCUAAAGCGUACAGACAAAGUACGCUGGCAAUUGGGUCUUUGUAGGCAGGCAUCAUUGUCAAGAUCCAUGGGUGCUGAGUUGUGUAAGCCUGAGGAGCACUAAGGGCCAUCUCUUCCAUGAACCUAAUUUUGGGUGAAUAAAGUCCUUAGAUUCAUUGUGAUAUUGCACGUAAAUGAAAAUACCAAGUGUCAUUGACUUGUCAGUGAAAAAGUAGCUGGGCUUGAUAACAAAUGGAUCAGUGAUGUAUAUUUGGAAGCUCCAUGACAUAUUAAAGUAGUUUAUGAGGCACAAUUUGUUUUGGUGGUCUGCUCUGAUGGAUGAUAUGCUAUCUGCUGCUGCUUCAUCUGUUGUGGUAUGUUUGUAAUAAAUGUUCGUUGCGAGACAGUGCUAAAUGUGUUCCAUCUAGAUCAUUCGUUACUUAUAACAAGUUUCAGUGUAUAUGAAUCAAAGGUUGUUUAUGCUUGCCUUCAAAAGAAUUCAUCAUUUUGAAGCAGUUCUAUCACUUUAAAUGGGGCAACUGAAUGAGUGAGUGCUCAGAAUCUUUCAACAAUUUAUAUUGAAAGCAAUACAGUUAAGUAUGUGCAGUGAUACGUUUAAUACUACUUUAAAAGUUUGUUGUCUGUUGCAGUCUAGCUCACCUGUUUGUUUUCCUUUUUUACUUUUCUGCUUUUGCAAACAAUAGGAUUUUUUGUUUGUUUAUUUAUUUAUUUAUUUAUUAUCAAAAGCAAGCUCUGAGGGACAAGUAGACAACAUUCAUGCAAAAACUGUGAUGUGUCAGGGGAAGCACAUCAGUUGGUGGGAUUUUUGCUGAAGUUGUACAACAACAUAUCACUAGUUCAUCAGAAAACAAUAAAAAAUGUAUGCACUAUCCACAGGAGAUUUUUACUUUCUUGAAAGUGCAGAAUACACCAACCUUGAGCAAACUAUGCACUUCAUUUCUCCAACUUUCUUGGUCCCUUAGUACACUGGGUGGGAAGAAAGACGUACUGGGUGCCAAACAGUUUAUAAAAUAGAUGAGUUUGAAAUGAGAAAGAAGGAAAAAAGCUAAAAUAUUAUAGAAGUAGAGUUGCUGUAAUGAUGGGUUGAGGCUGAACAGUUGCAGCAGCAUUAAACAGUGAAAGGCAAAUGUAUAAUUUGAGGCAGCUUUCUUCUUUCCCUCAGCGGUGUGUAUCCAUGUCCGUGUUAAGUUCAUUGCUUUUUUUUACAUCUAGUCUUUUCAGCUGUGAAUUGAUCUUAUUUCUUUGUUUCUCUUAAUUCUUUCUAUAUGGAAGUCCUUUGUAUGUUCAUUGCAUCUCAUAAUCAGCACUUUCAAGAAUGUCUAUCAAAAUUUGAAAGGUUUUAUACCUUACCCUUAAGGAAAAAAACAAGCUCAAAUGCUUCUGUGGCAUCUGUGAUGAUCUGUGUCAUCUGUACCUCAUAAGGCAAAGCAAUUUAACAUUUGCUGUUUCCUAAAGUUAAUGAAUAAAUAUUAUGCGCCAAUAGAUGCAAAUUAAAUCUUCACUUUUUCUAAGAUCUGUCUUAUAUACCUGUGUCGGGUACCUAAAGGCUCCCUGCUGAAGAAUGAUACUGGGAUGGAACAAAGUAUUCUGACAGUUUUAAGAAAACUGAUAUCUGUGGCUGUGGGCACAAAUUUCUUGUUUUGUAGACAGAGCUGUCCUUGGUAGUUUCUCUUGUUUUUACAAAGACUUGUUUUGCAAGCAGGUGUCCCACUUGGGCACUGUAUCACACACUGGCCACACGGGUACAGCAUGUGAGUGUGUGUAUGUUGAAUAGAACUCCUAACUUUUGUGUUAGCUGCAAUUCCUGGCCCUAGAUGCUCAAAGCUGUGAAAUCUGGUGGUGUGAGGCUUUCAUUUCUGUCAUGUGGGGUAAUAAAAUAACCACCUGUUAUUUCAGGCUUUCAGAAAGUAGUAAAGAUUUAAGACAAAGGCAAGAUGCAGGCCCCAAAUUGUCCUGAUGAUCUUUGACUUGUGCAUAAAAUGAGAAGUGUGAAUGGAAAAGAAGGAGAAAGUAGGCAUUGGGAAUUACCAUAAUUUGGUACUCAGUAAUUCAAAAAAGGAAGUAAGCACAGGGCUCAAGACUGUGCAGAUGACUGCAUGAAUGAGCACUGUGUUAGUUACUGCAUGUGACCAUCCUGCAUCUUCCUACGUACUACUUCUCAGUUACAGGAAGCAAAGUACAGCCACUACCUCCAUUGCCUAGUGUAGAUGAUUUUCUGGAUUGCUGGUAGUAGCUGGCGUUGUGGUAUAACUAGUCAUUUUUCUUUUAUUCAGUAACUCUGAACACAAGUUUUCCUCUCAAAUUUCAUUGAAAUGGUAUGAACCGAGGCUUAUUUUUACUACAAAGGCAGGUCUUCUUACUACCAAUUCAGGACUUUUGACAGUGAUGCAUAAUUCCCACUGUCUCAGGGAGGAAGAAACACAUUUGCCUUUUGAUCCACUUCAGUAUCUUCUACUGCUUGUGCUUAACUACCACAGAGGAAAGACAAAUCUGGGGAUCAGGACUUGAAAACUGCUGUUUUCUAUUUGUCCAUGUCUUGUACAAAUUUAUCUUUGAUGAAGCACAGCAAGAAGUCCUAUCUGCAAGCUUUUUACUGGCUUUUAUGGAACUUACUGUCCUGAUUGCUCUGUGAUGUUCUUUGCUGGUUCUAUCUAGAUCGCUCCAAAAGUAAUGCCUCCUAUUUGUUUCCAUACAAAAUACAACAGGUAUAAAAAGAACAAUAACACUAUUUGAUUGAGUAAAUUCUCAACUACAAAAUGCUAUUUUCAAUGUGGCCACCAACAGUAGCUAUGCAUUUUCAUCAGUAGUGAAAAAGAGCGUGCAUGUUACACUCAUCAAAAUCUGUGUGGACAUCUGGAACAUGGGUUGUCUUUCAUGUUGCUGUCACUGCUGUUGGAAUGCACCACCCACCACUUCACAGUGCUCGCAUCCACUCACUGGUCUCCAUAAAUGUUCAGCAAGCACUGAUGAACAUCAAUGGGUGCCAUUUUUUUUUUCUGCACAAAGGAAAGGAAUUCAGUGACACACCUUUGCUUCAUACCCACUUUUAUUUCAGACACCAUUGUGUCUGACUGCACCUCUGCUGCCAUCUCUCACAUGGCAACAAAAUGUAAUGGAAUACUGGUGGGAAGGUUGAAACAUCUACUGCCAUAUCACCAACAUCCACCUCUAGUGUAGGGGGCCAACAUAAUAAAAUAGGAGGUAUUACUUUUGGAGUAGCCCUGAUGAGGGCUCUGCCCUUUGCCGCAGUCAUCAGUACAAUCUUUUAUCCCCUCCUCUGUGAAAGUAAAUUUGACCUUACAAUUCUUGUCUGGAGAGAGCUAGCCAGUAACCAUAUAGAGAUCUGAGUGAAGCAGAUAUUACAUGAUCUGCCACAUUCUACCGCCUUUAUCUCUUACAGCACAAUAAAAAAAAAAAAAUUGCUCCUAUAAUGGCUAUUUUUUGCUAAUUCCCUAGCUGUUCCUCACUAAAGUACAAUUAAUUCCAAAUGGGGCUUCCCAUACAGAAAAUUACUGAUGGAACAUCUGAAAAAAAAAAAAAAAAAUAGAGCACAAAACCAUGGAAAUGCACAAGAGGAGGAAAAAAAAAUGCAAAAGUCACCAUAUGCUACGCUCUUUGUUUCUCUCAUUUGCAUUCUAAGGUUUUUAGGUUUUUUGUUGCUGUUGUUGUUUUUCGUGGUUGUUGCUGUUACUUUUUGAUUUCUAUUUCUCACUUCUUAAUUUGUCCCUGUUUACCUGUUCUGGUGAAGAAGCUGUGUAUAUAAUGUGGGUAUGCUUUGUGGGUCCCUAACUUCCAGAGUCCGCUUUUGAAAUGACAAGGCUUCCUAUACAGUUAAGUUUGUUUGAUAAUAUAUUUUUUUUAUUAUCAUUGUACAUUAUUUUAAGUAUUGGGGACAAAAUAAAGAAUUAAGCUUUUAAUUUUUUAGAAACUUCUGAAAAUGUGACUGUGAUAUUACUGUCCCUUAGUGGUUUACUGUGCAAAAGACAUGGGUUACCAAUAUUUUCUUUUAAAAUAUUUGAACUCAGUCUUUAAGAAGUUGCAAAAAUCAAUUUUGCUAGUAAUUAGAAUUAUAGAAUUUCCUGCCAGUAAAUAUGCUAAAUAUAAGGAAGCAUUGAACUGCACAAGGUCAAUACGUUUUGCUUUCAAAAUAUAUCCUAAUAUCUGUUAAUGUAAUCCACCAAUUAAAAAGUCUAUAAAUAAGUAUUUACUUGAUAGAUUAUAAUGUCUCCAAAGGGAGCAAUUAGGCUUUUAAGGAGAACUCUUAAACAUUCCCAUGAAGGUUUUAGUAUUUUCUUUAACACUCUGUCUUGCACAAACGCACAUUUUGGAAAUCGUGUUUGAAUAACCAGUAAUUUAUGGUUGUUAUUAUAUUACUUGUAAUUUGCACCCUGGUAAUAAAUGGUCCUAAAAUGACUACUGAUAAUGAUGUUCUACAGUAUUUCAAUAUGAAAAUGAUGAAAAUAGAGAGGCAGAUUUUCUUUCCUGCUACACUGUAAUGUACUUGAGUAUUUACUGGAACUUUGGUCUAAUUAGUGGUCAUGUAAGCAAAGUUUUCAUCCCACAAAGACCUUUUUUAAAUGUAUUUUACAUAUGGGAGAUAAGGGAAUUCAAAAUAGUGGGGCAGACUCUAAACUUGAUGUAAAUGUCUCUGAGCUGGGCUGAUUUAAAUUAGUUGAGCAUCUGGCCCAUUCUCUUUGAAAGCAGAUAAUUGGCUUCAGUAAUUGACUGAGAUUUGUAGGUUUCAUUUCUUUCAUUCUAUAUUUAAUUGUGUAAAAUAGUGACAUGCAAAUUUAGCCAAGAUUAUUAAAAUUAUUGAUCACCUACGCUAUCCAAUCAAGAACAAACUAUGUACAGUUAUAAACCAUUAGUUUUAGGUGAUAUUAGAAAUUCAUCCAAAUAGAAAAAAAUAACAAUAAUUAAAAGGAUCAGGGAUGUGUGUCAAAAUAUAAUUGCACAUUCCAGAGCUAGAAGAUUGUAAUAGUAGGACUAGCAGUCAUUCUUACAAGAGAGGGCAAGGGCAAAUGGUGAAAAAUUAAAACAUGAGUGAAAUGCCAGUAAAUGUCAUAUUAAUAACAGUAUACAUUACAACCUGCUGUGAUUUUUCUCUCCAGUGGGUCAUAUUUUUUUCUUCUUUUCUUCCAAGACAUUGACUAUGGAAGAAAGCCCUUUCUCCCAUCUCUGUCCCCAUUUCUCUAUAGUAUUGUUUUGUUUUUCCCUCCCUCACUUAAUUGAUGAAAUGAUUAGCUUCUAUAAUUAAUCUACAACCUUACAUAAUAUGAGAGAUAUGUAAGAACAGUGAAUGAGGGGCAUGAGAAAAUAAAUCCAGUUACUUUGAAAUGAGCUUGUUUAUGGAUUACAUUUUUCCCUAUAGAAAAUAUGGCUGAUUCAUAGCAGAUGCACCAUACUUUCCCUACAGACUUAAACUCAAAUGAAUCUAUACGUGUUAGCAGUAUUGUAGGUUAUAAAUCACAUCAUGUCAUAGUUAGCAAUGGCAACGGUGACAAAAGGUGACACACAUUAAUGAAUAGUAUGAAUAUAAACCUGAGAUGUUUAAUGGAGAGAUUUCCUCUCAGUUCCUGAAAGAAAGAUAGCUGAGAAACCACAAAAAAUGGCAACUUCUUGAAGACACUUUUUUUUUUUUUUUAAUCAGAAAUCUUGGUCAAAAAACUGUUUUUUGUUUGUUUGUUUGUUUGUUUUUGUUUUUUGUUUUCCUAUUCUUGAGGAAAUGUAGGCAUUUUUGGUAUGUUCAGGAACUCCUCAGCAGCAUAUGGGCUCCUCUCCUUGAGCUUCACGUUUACCCAUCAUAAAUACAAUUUCUUUCUAAAAACCUUGUGAUGUGUAUUUGAUGCACUGGGCAGUGCCUGAGUUAUUCAAGAUCAGUAGAAAAGAAUCUGCUACAUUAAAGCUAUUUAAAGAAAUAAAAUGAAAUUUCUAAUGGCUGUUUAAAAUGUGCAAGUAAAAAUGGGUCAGAAAAUUGCUUUCCUCAGGUAACUGAGCUGCAGCCUGUUGCGUUCUUCUCUGGACAAGGACCAUAUUCACAACCAAACCCAUUAGCAGAGUGUUUGAAAGAAUUAUAUCAGCCAAGGAACACCUUUUAAUUCUGAGUAUUCUCAAUGACUGAAAUUACGGGAAAGUGUCCAUUUCCCUUAAGUUACUUAAGUGCCCAAAGUGGCAAACGAAUACAAUUUUCAAAAGUAUAUACAUGAAUAAUCCUCAUUGAUCUGAGGAAUGAUCAAGUUCACCUAAGAAAUCCCACUUUGCACUCACAUCCUUCUGUGGUUAGGCAACCAAUCAAGACACCAUCCUUAUUUAUUUAAAUUUCUGCUUAACUGUGAGUAUGUGCUUAACAUUAAGCAUAGGUUUGUGUGCUUUUCUCAAUAAACAUAAGCAUGUGAAAAUCUCCCUGAUCUGAAGUACUUUGCAGGCUUCACUACUGAGAUAGCAAUUGCAAUACUUCUGUCUAACUUCCACAAUUUCCAAAUUCUGACAUUGUAAAUUAAGAUGCAGUAUCUUUUUGUCCCAUACCUAAGGGGAAUUUGAAAUCUAAUCUGUUAAUGUGGAAUAGAAAAUAGUUGGAGUAGACACUCAGGGUGCUUAUUCAAAGAGGAAAAUGAAGUCUUAGAAAAAUAAUCCUCAUUUAAAUCCCUUAGGCAGCAUUUUGAAAAUCUCUGGCUAGGAUAUCAACUGUGCUAGGGACUGAUACCAAACAAUAGCAAUAAUAAAAAAAGUUAUUUGGAUAGUCAGAAAGUAUUUGAUUAUCAAGUAAAUAAAGUGGGCCAUAAAUUUUUGCUGCUUAAAUAACUGCAUAGUUCUUUAUUUCUGAAAAGAUACAUUCAUUGAAUAAUAUAAAUAAAAGACGUGAGAUCCUCAAAAGGUUUUCAGUGACAACGUACAUGAUUGAAAUCAUUAUUCACAUAAUUAAAAAAGAGUAAGAAAUAUACAAUUCAUAGCCUAGCAAAAGAAUUAAAGGAAAAGGAAUGGACUGAGAAUUGUAACCAGUCUAUCUUUUAUAAAUAGGCUAUUCUAUCUUAGUCAAAAUGAAAAAUUAAAAAUUUGAAGCUUAUGAUCUAUACAAUAAUAUGCACAUAGGAGGACAGAAUUAUUAACUAGAUGAAAUGCUUAAGACAUACUUUAAUGGAGAGGGAAAGAUAUGCUAUUUUAUGCACUACUCCAUUUGUUUUGGAGUCAUAAAUUUCUUACUGUGUUUUGGCCACAAAAGAAACACCAGAUUGUGUUACAGACUGUGCAGAGGCUUGUAGGCACCAUCUUUCUUCACUUCGGCUCUUCCCUCUUCACCUGAGAAACAUCAAGCUGGAUCUCACAGGUGUUGCCAGCUUAGCCAGUGGAUUAGAUGACAAACAUCUUGAAUGGUUGAAAUCAGUAACAUUCUACCAAAUGCCAAACUGUUUCUGAGGACAGAAAAUUCUCCAGUGGGGGAGGAGGGAGACUCAAGGACUUUGCGGACUGCAGUGUACUAUGGUCUUCUUUCUAAUGACGGAGAGUGUCAGUCAUAUCCUUGCAAUUUGGCCAAACAUAAUUUAAUUCAAAAUACUCUGAACUAGGAGAUCACUAAUGUGUAAGUGAAUUCAGUUGAAUGUCUGCUAGCUAUACGAGCUAGACCAACUGGUUUUCCAUUUUUAAUCCUUCAUUGGCCUACAUGUCCUAACAAACAACCUUUUGCUUUUUUGUUAGUUUACAUUUAGAACUAUUUUUGGCAUAAAAUCAAAAUGGCAAGAGUCCAGAAACACUUAUUUUGGUGUGGCUCCUGUAGAGAUAGCAGGUCUUAAUAUAUUUUGCUCUGUAAGAGAACAUUUCUACACAGCAGUUACCUCUUACAGCAAGUCAGGAAACAUAAUUAUUGGAAAUUCAAGCUGUAGGACAAACUGAAUGCAUUUCUAAUGAAAAAGGAAAAGGACUGUAGUUUUAUUAUAAAGUAGGUGGCCUUACACUAAAAUACAAAACUUCUGUGUUCACUUAAGCAGAAGAUUUCCUGCCUGAAAGCCAGCUUUUUUCAUUUGUUAUCAUAGGCAGAAAUUAAAUGUUAUAGUACCACUCUGGGCCAGUUCAGAGUAAUUUUUCUUUCUUUUCUUUUUUUUUUUUUUUUUUGUAAAUGUUUACCGCUGCUUAUAAAUUUCAUGUUAUUAUUUUAUGAAAUGCCAGGCACUUCAGUCUGUGUUUACAGAUUUUGUUAAUCAAAUUGUUAAAUAUCUUUACAUACUUGUACUACUAGAUCCAUACAUAUCUGGAUCCAUAUAUAUUUGGAUAAUUUCUAGUGAAGAUUAGCAUCACUUCUUUGCUUUCAAAAGUGCAGCUACUCCCCAAAUUAAUAUGUGAGUAAAAAAUUCAAUAUAUUCAAUGUACCCAUUUGGAAUUGGUCCAAGUUACCUAAGUUCUCGUGCUAAAGCACAUUGAUCCAAAUUACUUACCCAUGUUGCAGUUUCUGCAAAGCAUAUGUUGUAUUUCUUAUAUAUCAAUUUUUUAUAUUAAAGAACUUGAUCCUAACAGCCUCAUAUGAAAACUUUUCUCAGGUUACUUAUAGACAGUGCUUAGUGAUUCAAAUAUUGAUGCUUAUUUUAAGCUGAAGUUUGAAUAAUAUAAGAAUGCUAAGUAUACAUAAAAUAAUGCCAUGAGUUAAACAAUAAUAAAAAUCUACAUUAAAAAAAAAAAAAUUCAAUCCAUCAGCUUCCUUUUACUUCCUUGAAUCAAAAUUGAAACAAAAUACAGAAAACCAUCUGGAAGCUAACAUGUCAGCUAGGAAGGGAUAUCUUAGAGCAGCAUUCUCAAUAUGUGUAAAAGAUAGCAUUAGGGAAGUCUAUUGCAAAUGAAAUCACCUAACUGACUGUGACUUAUGUUCAAGUUAAGCAUUUCUAUUCCUUGAUUCCAAGUACAGUAGUGGUUUUGGUCAUGGAUAGUCAUUAGGACACUACAGAGAUACUGGGUUUGCCUGGAUCCUGCUAUAUUUUUCAGUGACAUUGAGCAUCAUAUUUGCAGCUGGCCUAAUGUUGCACUGGCAGAGAGCUGUUUCCCUGGGGGACAGGAGGAAGCUCUUGGUCUAAGGGAUGAACUGAAGAGUUCAGCAGGGAGGGACUGGGAUUCCAUUUCCCUAUGAUGUUUCCAGUCUUUCCCUUUGCAAACAUAUCAGAAGUACACGUAGCAGAACAAAUGGGAAGGUUUCAUAAGGAGAAGGGGCUGCACCCCUUUGCUUUGCGCUCCUUUCAGUUUUCUAAAAAGGUGGGAGCCUGACUACAAAUUUUGCUGUGCUACCUAUGCAUCACUGAACUAGAGGAGUUAUGUCAACUUAAGCAUGAGAUUUCAGACCAAGAAGCCAAUCUUUAUUUAAUCAGUCUGAAAAAAUACUGUUUUGAGUACAUAUAUUUUUUCAAAAUGGCAAGGCAUGUUUUACAUUGUUUUCUUAUGGGAUAACACACUUUUUAUGAAAUAGCUUAUGCAUGUAUUAUAUACCUUUCUUGGUUCCACCAUGUACACAACAGUCCAAGGACAUUAUCCAGAUCUGGAGCAAACCCAAGAGGAUUUUCAUCCUGUAAAUAACAAGAUUUUUCCAGACUGCUCCAUAUAUAAUCUUGCUUUGUUAAAUAAAGAAGUAGUCAAUAGGAAGCUUUUCAGAUUCAUACAUCAUUUAAUACAAUACUUAUUGGUCUGAGUAAGUACAGAAAUCCAAGCUACAUGCUCAUACUAUUAGCUUAAUACAAACUGUAAUCUGCCUGAUUAUUUUCAGCCUACAUAGUAUUGUAGUUUAAAAAGGGUGAAUUUGUUUUCACAGUUGAUGUUUGAGUAAUGGAAAAGCAAUCAAUUUAAGCAUUUUUCUUAAAAAGUUAUUUCACUAAAUAAGUGGAAGUCUAUUAUAAAUUCCAUCAUUUCAAACUAGGUUGUAAAUUUAUGAUAUUUCUGGAUCUCUCUUCAUAAGUUUUUCCUAUGGGGGAUUGACUUAGUCCAUACUAGCAGGGUUUUUUACUAGUCAAUCGAUGCAGUUAUUCUCUGGUUUUGUAAAUGGAUGUUGCUUGCUGUGCUCUAUCUUGCUGCUGCACGAUUAGAAGGCUAGAAUCAAAAAGGAUGAACCAAAAGCUGUAUUUAUUGGUUUUAGCUUCGGUUUUGAAAACUGUAGUGCUAGAAGUACAAGAUGUUCAUGAAAAACUGUGGUGCUAAAAAUAAUAUGGAGCUUGCUGUGAAUAAGAGGAAAGUAUUAAUUGGAAAAAAAAAAUAGAGUAAGAAAAGGUUACAGUUCUCUCUGUUACAAACCCUUUUCAAGUAUAUGUUUCUAAGGUGAGACCAUUAGAUGACAAAAUUGCAAAAUCUCAGUGGUAUUGUGUAUAAGUGCUACCUUACUUGAAGCUCUAGGAAGAGGUUAGAAUUAGAGUGGAUGACUGUACACAUGGGACACAAUCUUCCUUUGCUUAUAAGAGUGGGUAAAUAGUGCAGAUAUUGCUGCUUACAGUUCUGUCCCCCUUUCAGUAUGGGGGUGUGAAUAAACGCAGUACUUCUCUUCCUUCUCUAAGAAUGCAGAAGUUAUACAGAAAGAGGUAAUUUUCUUGUUUCUUUGUUUUUCCCUCUUCACAUUGAAGUCAAUUUUAAGUAAUGUAUCCCAGAAACACACUUAAUUGGAGAUGGAGGUUCCUCCAGUGAAAGGUCAAAAUAUAAACAUCAUUACAGCCUUUAUGACCUGUGUCAACUACUUGUAACCAAUAAUAAAGAAGUCUGUACCAUUCCUACUUCCAAAAUGCAAAGUGAAAGCAAAAGCAAAAAAACUUUCCAAGGACCUUACUGAGAACUGAGGGGGACCUGGGUGUGGAUGGGUGUGGACCUGGGUGAGAAGGACCUAGUGGAUGAAAAGGUGGAUGUGAGCAGUGUGCUCUUGCACACAUUAGGAUCUUCUCCAGCAUAAGCCAUUCUGUGAUUCUGUGAAAUCUUCCUGGGUCUUUCAUUCUGCAUUUUGCUUUAGCAUUAGCCCAGGAUCUGUGCUUGAGCACCUUCUAUUAUCCCGUUUCUCAACAACUAGAGUUCUGUUUCCCCAAAAGGAUGGAUUAAUUAUUUUCAUAGUUAGAUAUUGGACAUAUGUUUUUGAAUGCAAGGGUGUCUGUCUUGUGGAAUAAAAUCCCAAGGAGAAUGAUAAGCCGUGCAUUUGACAAAGAAGGAAAAUGAAAUUUUGGUCAAUUCAAUAUAAGAUGUUGAGGUAGUAUUUAGUAUUCUUUCAGUUAUAUGAAGAAGUCCAUAAAAUAUGGAAAACAAUUUGUUUUGGAUAAUAUGAAGUAAUAAAGCAAGCUGUUGCCUACUUAGAAUCUUUCAUGUAUACAGAAAUAAUUUAAUUCAUCUACUGCAGCAUGAUUAAUUAUGAUUAUGACUUGUUUUAAAUGUCUGGUUCCAUUAUUAAUUUUGCAGCUUAUGUAAAAUAAGAUUUGCUCCUUUAAGAAAUAAUAAGUUAAAGAACAAGGCAGAUAUUUCCUGUCCACAGCAUCUUGAAAAAUUCAACUGCACACUGUUUAAAUCUUUUCAAAAUACACUUUUUUUAGAAGAUCAACAUCCUACUUUUUUUUAUAAAUCUUUAUUUUUUUUAUCUUUAACUAUAAUUUAUAAAAAUAAUUGCAUCUUCUAGGGACAUAGAGAGCAAUUAUUGACUCCACAAAUUGAGUUUUUAAAUUGAUUGAUGUAAAUAUACACAUUAAUUUUUCCAUAGAAUGAUUUGCAUUUUUGAUAAACUGAUAAUGAACAAUAUUUCAAAUAAAAAUAAAUCUACAGCAGUCUAGCUAACAAUAAGCACCUACUCUUUAGGAAGUGUGAAAAAGAAUGGACUUCUGUCUUUUUACUUGCGUAGCUAUUUGUGAAUUUCAGAUUUUUUGUGCUUACUCCUACGUUUCACUAUAUUGGUUCAUGGAAUCAUAGAAUUAUGAUGGUUCUUAACCACUCUGCAUUCCUCAAAAUAAAAACUUCACUUAAAAAAAGCUAUUUUGCCUGGGAGAAAUUGACAUCUAUCAUGUAGAUGUCAUGUAGAUCUACUUACAUGUAGAUUUUGAAAAAUAUGCAUGUUAGCAGGGAGUGCUUUCACAAGGGGUUCCAAAAGCAACUAGGAAGUUUACCACUUUUCCAUAUUUCUAUAUUUUGCAGCACAAGAACCUCUGUUUAUGUUGUACCUGAUUGAUCAGUUCGUUCUGCUCAGCAGGCCUCAUUUUUUAGGUAUAAAGGCAUGUGGUUUGCAGGAAGCUUUGUAACUUACUGUAAGUUGCAAGUAGCUAGGUUUUUUUUAUGACUUGUCUGUAAGAGCAACUCCAAAGGUAAGAACUUUAAAGUUCAAGGGUUAAAUUGAUACCCUAAAUUCAAUAAAGGGAUAUGCAUACAACAAUAACUUUGAGUAGAACUUCUGCAUGUGCAUCUCCAAAAAAAAAAAAAAAUCUUCAAGAUCCAAACAAAGCUAUUUCCAGAAGGCAUUGUGAGAUGCAUCUCCAUAUAGACAGUUUUGCUAGCUUCAAAAUUUGCCAAACAUUAUACUUUCUAGUAUGAGCUACUAUUAUCUCCUGUGUUUCUGCAAUUUAUUUCAUCUGUCAUAACUUCUAAACCAUGUGUGUACAGUGUUUUGUAUACAAUUAUUUUAAUUUUAAUAUCACUCUAAAUGAUUUUCAAAAUAUUAUUAAAUGUAUCUAAUACUUGACUGAGUUCAUCUUUGAGCUAUUGUGUAGCCUCAAAGAUUUCAAAGGACUUAAGAUUUUUUUCUGCCAAGUUUAGUAAUCUUACAGUGCACCGUGUUAAUUCACUAAGAAAAUCCUAGUUUAUGACCAAAUGUAUUGGUUAUUUCCAUUGGCAAGGGAUUUUGUACCUGCUUUUUUUCCACAUUGUGUAGUUCCAAGUGUCUUAGGUGCAAGCAAAUGAAUGUUUUUGAAUUCGUAUUCAUUCAGAAGAUUAUAACUGCUGAAUGUAAUCUAGAAAUGUUAAUAAAAGGCACCUUCUUUUUUUUCUUAAUUCUCAUAUAUUCCUUUUUUCUUCUUAAAUAGAGCAAAAUGCUAAAGUUGUUCCUAAAAAAAUGAAUUUAACCUGUUACAUAUUGAAAUUCAUCCUCUUCAUUCUAAUAGCAACGGUAUAUUUUUGCAGAAAUAACUGAACGAGUUCUUAAGAUGACACUCUAUACAUAAAUAUUAGUGUUGAGCAUGUGAAACACCAGAGUUGGCUUUUGAGAUUCAAUUAGGUUGUACUGGAGUGGAUACCAAAUGAAACUGACAUCAGAAUAAAAAAAUAUAUGAUUUUAAAGUACGAUUAUUUGAGAUAAUCAAUAUGCAACAGCAAAAACUGUUAGCCAAAUCAGACUAAAGUCAUCUUUGCAAUUGCUGCAGUGAGAAAGAUUUGACAGGUUUGGGCAGUUUAGAAAAUUAAGCAAUGCAAUUAACUAUCAAAAUAUAUCUUUAAACACCUAACUUUAUAUCUGUGGUUUACAAGCUAUGUUUUUUUUGCUGUUAUUAUCCACAGCAGAGUUGCCUACAUAUAUGCUGAGUCAGUGGGAAGCAGUGAGCAUGGAACAAAAUAGAUGGGUGAGUUGUGCCCAAGAAAUGCUUACUUUCUUCUGAUGACUAUAAUCUAAAGCUAGGUGAAAUAAAUCUCUACCACAGUUACUAAAAUCUUUAAUGUACUCAUUAGUACUGGCAGAUAUUUCAGUCAUUUGAAAUCUGCCUAACAUAAUCAGGGACUAAGGAUGAGAAUGCUCAGGUUUGGAUGUUGAACUAUAGGAAGUAAAGAGUAAAAUAGUGACUUUCUGACAAGGUGGAAGACAGAGAAUACAUCUUUCUUUUCAAGCUUUGUCUCUGCAGGAUUUUGUAGCUGUCAGUUUAUCCCUUCAUGUCUUGAGGCAGGAUCCACUUUACAGUUCUUAGAAACUAUAAAAUAAGAACUGAUAGUGUAUGUUACUCUCAAGACCUUUUAUUUUAGAUGUAAAUGUUCCCCUUUAUUUUCCUUAUGAUGCUGCUGCUAUAAAUAUUUGGUAACAGAAACUAGAUAAAUGAGAAUAGUAUCUUGUAGUUCUUCAUUACAUCUGCUUAUGCUUUAUAAUCCACUGUCAUCUAAAACUUUUGCUUGAAAACAAUUCCAGAAUUGAUAAUGAAGACUUCCUCUCUAAUCUGUGAAAUACUUUAAGGAGAUGUUGGUACUGUAGGCUUUCCUUUGCUAAGGUGAAAUAUCAUCUGAUCCCCAAAUCAGUGAACUUUACUUGGUCCAGUUGACGUUUCCACUUAACAGAUGAAUACUCUUCUUCUGCCUCUUGCUAUUGCUGUUAGUGACUUUCCUUGUGGUGCAGAUGACAGAAAGGAAAGCAACACAAAGCAGCAUGAGGGGAUGUGUUGUACAUCCUCAUGCUGCUCUGAACUAGUUGUUGCUGUCUGGAGAAGGUGAGCAGGGACAACCUGUAAGGAAAACACCCAACAAGUUCGUUUCCAAGCACUGGGGGAGAGAGGAGAUGGUUCAAAGUAAAGGUGUACUGCUGACCCUUUUGGUCAAAGUCUUAUCGUCAUCUGGCCAAAAUUUAAGCGCCUAUUUCCCUCUCUCUGAGCAGUAUGUAGAGGGAUUCUGGUUUGAGAGUCAUUACGCCUGUAGCAUUCCUGCCUUUACUCUCCCCUUCUUGGGAGAACUGCUUAUUCUGUCAUCUGGGAAACUUCUUAAGCUCUCACAUUUGUCAGAAAGGUUCUACUUUAUCUUGAUACCAAAUGGCAACUUUAGCUUUUAACGGAUGCUUAGACUGGAGCAAAAGCCACUAGAACAGAAUAAACUUCAUUAAUAAAUUAUAUAUGUAUUAACAAAGCUAUGCACAUGCCUGAAAAACAACAUGAGUACAGUGCCUGCACACUGUUUGGCCUAAACAGCAGGCAGCAUUAUUACCAGAGGGCCUUUCUGUUACUCUUAUAUUUGAAAUUCCUAUACUGUACAAAGUGCCACUAAGUGGUAUGAACAUUUUUUUUUUUAUUCCUUUCUUUCUCUUUUGGUAUGCAAUCUUCUCUUUACAGGAGUUUGAAAGGAAAUCCUAAAUCUGUUCUUUAACAUAUAAUUUUGGUAUCUAAAAACAGCGCUUGGGAUUAGCAGGCUUGUCAGAAAAACAAGAAUUUAGAUG
Molecule: long non-coding RNA, 32759 nt
Filed under: Gallus gallus (chicken)
Lineage: Eukaryota; Metazoa; Chordata; Aves; Galliformes; Phasianidae
Source: RNAcentral